AUACGUAGGUGGCGAGCGUUGUCCGGAAUUACUGGGUGUAAAGGGCGUGUAGGCGGGAAAGCAAGUCAGAUGUGAAAUACCGGGGCUUAACUCCGGGGCUGCAUCUGAAACUGUUUUUCUUGAGUGUCGGAGAGGAAAGCGGAAUUCCCAGUGUAGCGGUGAAAUGCGUAGAUAUUGGGAGGAACACCAGUGGCGAAGGCGGCUUUCUGGACGACAACUGACGCUGAGGCGCGAAAGCGUGGGGAGCAAACAGGAUUAGAUACCCUGGUAGUCCACGCCGUAAACGAUGGAUACUAGGUGUAGGAGGUAUCGACCCCUUCUGUGCCGGAGUUAACACAAUAAGUAUCCCACCUGGGGAGUACGGCCGCAAGGUUGAA
This 377-nucleotide ribosomal RNA is filed under the name uncultured bacterium. Its description in RNAcentral is "bacterial SSU rRNA". It matches the Rfam family "Bacterial small subunit ribosomal RNA", at positions 523 to 898 of the family's 1533-position model. The record is from RNAcentral.